This 253-nucleotide ribosomal RNA is filed under the name uncultured bacterium. RNAcentral's name for it is "partial 16S ribosomal RNA". It matches the Rfam family "Bacterial small subunit ribosomal RNA", at positions 524 to 776 of the family's 1533-position model. The record is from RNAcentral.
UACGGAGGGUGCAAGCGUUAAUCGGAAUUACUGGGCGUAAAGCGCGCGUAGGCGGCUAGAUAAGUCGGAUGUGAAAGCCCCGGGCUCAACCUGGGAACUGCAUUCGAUACUGUUUGGCUAGAGUAUGAGAGAGGGAGGUAGAAUUCCACGUGUAGUGGUGAAAUGCGUAGAGAUGUGGAGGAACACCGAUGGCGAAGGCAGCCUCCUGGGCCGACACUGACGCUCAUGCACGAAAGCGUGGGGAGCAAACAGG